UGCAUUUAUAUUUCUAGCAACUUCAUUUAAUGGGAAAUCCUAAUAUGUUUGCUCUUUAUUGAUUUGCAGUUGAUAUAAUUUCUGACAUUGAGUUUGAUAAAACUGGCGACCAUCUUGCUACUGGUGACCGUGGGGUUAGAGUGGUAUUAUUUGAAAGGAGUGAUACAAAGGAGCUUGUUGGAAGUCGAAGAGAGUUAGAGAGGACAGACUAUCCUGUUAGUCGGCACCCAGAGUUCCGGUACAAGACAGAAUUUCAAAGCCAUAAACCUGAGCUAUGUUAUGAAGUCUCGCGAUUCUGAAGUCCCUGAAUCCAGUCGUGAUGCUCGGAAUAGUAAACAAAGCGAGCAGUAUGCUUGUAAUGAGAGUCGACGGGCAGAGAGGAACUUGAGACGCCGAAAUGCUUACGCAACAAUGGAUCCUGCUAAGAAACGAAAAAUGCUAGAUGAUAUUAACGAAAAGCGUCGCGUCAAAAGUAAUGCAGCUAAAUCUACA
Molecule: long non-coding RNA, 492 nt
Organism: Ipomoea nil (Japanese morning glory)
Lineage: Eukaryota; Viridiplantae; Streptophyta; Magnoliopsida; Solanales; Convolvulaceae
Exons: 3
Source: RefSeq, a predicted model, not a curated record